UACAGAGGGGGCAAGCGUUGUUCGGAAUUACUGGGCGUAAAGGGCGCGUAGGCGGCCUGUUAAGUCGAACGUGAAAUCCCCGGGCUCAACCCGGGAACUGCGUCCGAUACUGGCAGGCUUGAAUCCGGGAGAGGGAUGCGGAAUUCCAGGUGUAGCGGUGAAAUGCGUAGAUAUCUGGAGGAACACCGGUGGCGAAGGCGGCAUCCUGGACCGGUAUUGACGCUGAGGCGCGAAAGCUAGGGGAGCAAACAGG
Molecule: ribosomal RNA, 253 nt
Filed under: uncultured bacterium
Lineage: Bacteria
Description: partial 16S ribosomal RNA
Rfam family: Bacterial small subunit ribosomal RNA
Source: RNAcentral